UAAUCAUACAAAAAGGAAAAGGAAA
Molecule: ribosomal RNA, 25 nt
Filed under: Oxyopes javanus
Lineage: Eukaryota; Metazoa; Arthropoda; Arachnida; Araneae; Oxyopidae
Description: partial 28S ribosomal RNA
Source: RNAcentral